This 45-nucleotide non-coding RNA is filed under the name Trichobilharzia regenti. The record is from RNAcentral. Lineage: Eukaryota; Metazoa; Platyhelminthes; Trematoda; Strigeidida; Schistosomatidae.
AUCCAGAUGAAGAGUCCCAAAUAGGGUGAAGUGCACACCCUGGAU